CAGCCGCCGCGGUAAUACGAAGGGUGCAAGCGUUACUCGGAAUUACUGGGCGUAAAGCGUGCGUAGGUGGUGGUUUAAGUCCGUUGUGAAAGCCCUGGGCUCAACCUGGGAAUUGCAGUGGAUACUGGAUCACUAGAGUGUGGUAGAGGAUAGUGGAAUUUCCGGUGUAGCAGUGAAAUGCGUAGGGAUCGGAAGGAACAUCUGUGGCGAAGGCGACUAUCUGGGCCAACACUGACACUGAGGCACGAAAGCGUGGGGAGCAAACAGGAUUAGAGACCCCCGUAGUCCCUGUCUCUUAUAC
RNAcentral lists this ribosomal RNA (301 nucleotides) under uncultured bacterium. Its description in RNAcentral is "partial 16S ribosomal RNA". It matches the Rfam family "Bacterial small subunit ribosomal RNA", at positions 509 to 807 of the family's 1533-position model. The record is from RNAcentral.